Molecule: ribosomal RNA, 423 nt
Filed under: uncultured bacterium
Lineage: Bacteria
Description: bacterial SSU rRNA
Rfam family: Bacterial small subunit ribosomal RNA
Source: RNAcentral
UAGGGAAUAUUGGGCAAUGGACGCAAGUCUGACCCAGCCAUCCCGCGUGCAGGAUGAAGGACCUCUGGUUCGUAAACUGCUUUUGUGAGGGAAGAAAAAGCGAUACGUGUAUCGAACUGACGGUACCUCACGAAUAAGCACCGGCUAACUCCGUGCCAGCAGCCGCGGUAAUACGGAGGGUGCAAGCGUUAUCCGGAUUCACUGGGUUUAAAGGGUGCGUAGGCGGCUCGAUAAGUCAGUGGUGAAAGCUCUCGGCUCAACCGGGAAACUGCCAUUGAAACUGCCGAGCUUGAAUCUGGUUGAAGUGGGUGGAAUAUGACAUGUAGCGGUGAAAUGCUUAGAUAUGUCGUAGAACACCGAUUGCGAAGGCAGCCCACUAAACCAACAUUGACGCUGAGGCACGAAAGCGUGGGGAGCGAACAG